UACGAAGGGUGCAAACGUUGCUCGGAAUCAUUGGGCGUAAAGCGCACGUAGGCGGCUCCACAAGUCGGAUGUGAAAUCCCUCGGCUCAACCGAGGACGUGCAUACGAAACUAUGGAGCUUGAGUACAGAAGAGGAUCGCGGAAUUCCCGGUGUAGAGGUGAAAUUCGUAGAUAUCGGGAGGAACACCAGUGGCGAAGGCGGCGAUCUGGGCUGAUACUGACGCUGAGGUGCGAAAGCGUGGGGAGCAAACAGG
RNAcentral lists this ribosomal RNA (253 nucleotides) under uncultured bacterium. RNAcentral describes it as "partial 16S ribosomal RNA". It matches the Rfam family "Bacterial small subunit ribosomal RNA", at positions 524 to 776 of the family's 1533-position model. The record is from RNAcentral.